AGUGUGUGAGAACACAUGAGUGUAGUGACCCUCUCUGCCAUCUGUCAGCCCCAUAAGGGACCGGCAUGCCUUGUUCAUCUGACUGUCUAGGGCAGGAACACGAGCAUGGAACACGUGUGAGAAAAGCCCUCCUUCUUGCUACAGGGGCCGUUGGAUUAAGCAGCUUUCGGCUAUCUAAUGUCAUUGAGGUUCAAGCCAUGAAAAAGGAAGCUGACGGCUGCAAAAAGAUGUCAUCUAAGGCCAGACCAAAUGAAAGGAUGCAGUAACUUCCUACCAAAUAAAAACAUCUUUGACUCAAUAGAAAAAA
Non-coding RNA from Rattus norvegicus (Norway rat), 307 nucleotides. The record is from RefSeq and is a predicted model, not a curated record. Lineage: Eukaryota; Metazoa; Chordata; Mammalia; Rodentia; Muridae.